CCUGGCGUACUCUGGUCCAUGGGGUCACAAAGAGUUGGACACGACUUAACGACUAAACAAUGGCAAUGGGUUCAAAUGCAGGAUUCAGAGAAAAUGUAAAAUGUCAUUGAAAUCCUCCCCCUAACCAUCAUCUUAGAACUGCAGACCUGGAAAUGUCUGAAUCAGUUCAGAUUCUAGAGAGGGAGAGUACCUCUGCCUACACAAUGAGUUUUAAUGCUACUUCGCCCACCCCCCAUUAUGCGGAUUCAUUCAGUCUCUAAAUGUGAAGCGAUAAAGAAUUAUUUCAGAGUACACAGAAUGUCCCUUUUCCCCCACAGAGCACCCAGGGGCGAAUCCACACAUAUGUAGGAUGCAGGGCGGGGUCAGCUGCACUGGUAACUUCAUGAGGGAAAGUACGAAGAAGGCUUAGGUGGUUGCAGGUUAAUGCACUUUAUUUUCUUAAAUAUAAAUGAACGAAAUGAACAGUUGAGGAAGAGAAGCUGACGUUCACACCUACUUUCCGGAAACUAGUCUGAAAGCAGAACAACGAACAUUGACCCAGACGAACCCCCUUCCUUGCCCUUGUCAGGGUCUGUUGGUUAUCCACGCAGGCUUUAAUUUUGACACCAAGUCCUCUUGCAGUGAUGAUUUUCUGCAAAGUCGUUACUCUAUGCGCGCGAGGAGAAGGGUGUCGAGAGGUAAAAGAGAACCGUGUUCUUGCACCCGCUGAAAAGUCGUGCAGAGGGCAUGCUCCGCACGCCAAACUGCGACACACCCGUCGAAAAGUCCCUUUUAGCGCCAGACCACCGUCCUGCAGGAACGGCCCUUCUUCUGAGCACCGGAGGCUACAUCGAAGCUACAGAGCAUCAUGCACGUUUAAGAUCGGACAGAAAAUGUGGUGGAAAAAGUGAGAGGCACUUUUGAGGCUGAAUUUGAAGACCUGGACUCUGAUAAUAAAGCCUGGGAAUUAGAUGUUAGAGCCA
This 962-nucleotide long non-coding RNA is filed under the name Pogona vitticeps (central bearded dragon). Its description in RNAcentral is "lncRNA (ENSPVIG00000001086.1)". The record is from RNAcentral. Lineage: Eukaryota; Metazoa; Chordata; Lepidosauria; Squamata; Agamidae.